GGUAAUUUGACCGUGCAAAGGUAGCAUAAUCAUUAGUUUUUUAAUUGAAAGCUGGAAUGAAAGGUUGGAUGAGAAAGAAGCUGUCUCUGUUUAAUUUGUUUAGAAUUUUAUUUUUAAGUUAAAAAGCUUAAAUUUAAAUAGAAGACGAGAAGACCCUAUAGAGUUUUAUUAUUUUUUUUUAUAAAAAUAAUAGUAUUUUUAAAUUUUAUAGAUAAAAUUAAUUUAGUUGGGGUGAUUGAAAAAUUAAAUUAACUUUUUUUUUAUAAAUACAUUUAUAUAUGAUUAUUUGAUCCUUAAUUUGAGAUUAAAAGAUAAAAUUACCUUAGGGAUAACAGCGUAAUUUUUUUUGAGAGUUCUAAUCGAAAAAAAAGAUUGCGACCUCGAUGUUGGAUUAAAAUAAAAUUUUGGUGUAGAAGCUAAAA
This 422-nucleotide ribosomal RNA is filed under the name Laparocerus noctivagans. RNAcentral describes it as "partial 16S ribosomal RNA". The record is from RNAcentral. Lineage: Eukaryota; Metazoa; Arthropoda; Insecta; Coleoptera; Curculionidae.